This 1331-nucleotide long non-coding RNA is filed under the name Macaca fascicularis (crab-eating macaque). Its description in RNAcentral is "lncRNA (ENSMFAG00000051810.1)". The record is from RNAcentral. Lineage: Eukaryota; Metazoa; Chordata; Mammalia; Primates; Cercopithecidae.
CGUAACUCUUGGGGAGGAUCUGCGCCCGUUGGUAAACGAGGACGCGCCCCAGUCAGACGCGCCCCAGGCACGGGGUCCCCGGGGCUCCCGGCCGCGCCGUCGGAGCACCCGGCGCGGCCCCGCCCUCCCCGCGCGCGGAGCGGCCGGGGCGGGGACUACAAGUCCCGGCGUGCCGCGCGCGCCUCCCCCUAGGGUUCCGGAUGGUGAGCGGCGAAGGUAAGGCGAGCUCGCAGAGGCAUCGGCGGCGGCGGCGGAGACGGAGAGAGGCAGGCAGGCAGGGCGAGGGCGAGAGACGGAGGGAGCGAGCGAGGCGGACCAGACAGACAGACAGGCGGGCGGGCGGGCAGAGCGAGCCACCCGCCAGGCUGCGCUCAGCCCCGCUCGCAGCGGAGAGAGCAGAAGGCAGGAGGAGGGAGGGGAGGAGGGGGAGGGAGGGAGAGAGGGAAUCCAGCUACCACCACCCAAAGCCAGCGUCUGCUUUCUGUCCUCAUUUCCUUUUCCCACCCAGCUUGGAGAGCAGAGAAAGGCAGAGAGAGCGAGAAAUAGAGACAGUCUGAGAGACAGACAGACAGCCAGAGAGAGCGGGAGGGAGGAGGGCGGAGGAGGAGGAGCAGGAGGACUACGCGGGGCGCGUUCCCUCCCAGGUUUGCAAUUGGGGGGGUGGGGGCGGGGGUGUCCAGGGCUGGGAGAGUGUGUGCGCGGCGGGAGGGCGAGGGGAGCGCAGAGAGCGAAGGAGUGAUCGAGGUGGGGGGGCGCCGCGGGAGCGGGGCCGUGUCCAGCGGAGUUAGCGGCGGAGAAUGUGAGCCGAGGCGCGAGCCAUGCUGUCAGCGACGGCGGGCGGCUCAGGGCUCUUCCACGACUCCUCUCCUCAGCAGCCGGGCGCCCGCGUCGCUGCCACCGCCGGAAGACAGACGCCCCCUAAAACCCCUCGCUUGGCUCGGACCCACGGAGCCGGCAGCCCAGCACUCCGGCCUCCCCCUCUUCCCAGAGCCUCCUCUGCCUGGGGAGGCAUCUCCACCCCUUCACCGCCCCAGGCUCUUCAUUCCUGGACAGUGAGGCUGGACAUCUGGUUCAAAGCUGCCCCACCCAAGACCCUGUGCUCUGGGCACCCUGGCCUGGGCUUGAAGGUUUGGGGCCCCUUUGGGGUGGGGGCAGAGCCUGUUGGCACCUGGUCACCCUGGUCUUUCAGCCAGGAAACUCUCAGUACCCAGCCCUGCCCUGGCUCUGGCAUGUAUGUGGGAGAGGGGGACAGGGGGAGUUGCCCCCAGCCUACACUUUUUGAAGUGCUUGCCAAAUCACUGCCCCCUUCCCCAACCCCUUGGCUCACCUGA